CCCAAGCAGGCAUCCUACUGCCAGCAAGGAACCCGACAUGGGGCUCAAACCUAUGGACCAUGAGAUAAUGCCUUGGGCCGAAAUCAAGAGUCAGACACUUAACCAACUGAGCCACCCAGCUGCUGCUAAAUCUACAUUAAUUAAAUACGGGUUAUACUCCAGGUUCUUGGCUAAAGGCUAUCCAUGCAAUAGAUACUAUUCCCAGUAAUCCUAUGGAUAGGUAGUAUUAUCAUGCAAUUUACAAAUGAGGAAACCGAGACUCUGAGGCUUACUAUCCUGACUGAGGUCAAAGAGCCCCAGGCCCAUCUGACAUAAUCAGAGCCCCUUUCCUGCCCUUGGCCAGGAAAGCCAGAGCUCUUCAUGAGGGUUGGACAGGGGAUGCGCUCCCCAGGGGUGUGUCUGAGUCAUAAACAGCUGGCAGUAGGUUGAGAAAUGAGUCUUCUGUGAAACAGAGCAAAAGGAAAUAUGGGUCAGGAGACAAUAAUCACUGUCAACCUUUGUGUGAAUGUGUGGUGUGGUGUGGGAGUCACGAAGGAUUCUAAAGUCGCACGGGAGGCUCGAGGCUGCCCACUGUCUCCAUUUAUGCCCUCCUCCCCCUGCUCCACCAAAUCGUCUCUAACAUGGUUCGCUUUCUGGUUAUCUCUGGCUUCUUCAGAUGAGAGGUGCUCAGUCACCCUGUGCUGGUGGGACAGGGAUACAGCUGUACCAGUGGAGAUGAGGAAACCUCUUCUCAGUGACUUUGAGUCUUUACACAGAGAACCCUACUCCAUAGUCAUUUGAAGUGAGCCUUGGGUCCUGGCCCCUUUUCUUGCCAGCUGGGUAAUGCCAUGUACGAAGAUGCCCUAGGGCCAGAGGCUGGGGAACCACUCCCAGCACCCCCCACAAGAUUAGGAGUGCUGACAGAAUUGCUUUUUCACAAACAGCCUUCCUGGCUCUUUGGCAAGAAAGCCCUCUCCCCAGCUCUGCUCCAUGGCGGCCUCCUGCAGAGCAUCCAUAACAUUGCUGAACUGUUCCCAUGGCAACAGAGGAAGGGGCUUUUUGUUUUCCUCAGAGGGUGGAAUCUUUUCAACCAGAAGGUGACUGUUGGCUCUGGCUCACAAUCUGCACUCCACCCCCUACCCUUGUUGGGCUGCAGGACGAGUUUUGCAGUUCUGGAGUUUUAAACAUAAUCAAAAGAGGUAUAGUAUGUGGAAACUGAGCCUGGGAGACUUAAGGAAGCAACUGGUCUCAAGUUUUCUCAGCGACCGUACAUCAGAACUAUGGGCGUCCAUUAAAGAAAUCCAGAGAUUUUUCCAAGCAAGGGGUCUGGGUGGCAUUGCAGCGGGAGACGCUCACCUGGACUCCCAUGGGUGUAGAGCAGGGAAGCUUUUUCAAAUUUCCCUUCUUUUCCAAGGCCAUGAUCAAGAUGAUGGGCAAAGAGAGCCUGGACCUGACCUCAUUUUCAGGUAAAUGGCCUCAGAUGACCUAUUUAAUCUCUCUAGGCCUUAGUUUUAUUUGACGAGGGAGUAUGAGAUAAGGGGCUCCUUUGGGGGGGGGGGUCUAAAAUGCAGUGCUCCUGAGUUGCUAGGGAGGAAAAAAAGAGACUUUUCUGAAUUGUUGCCAUGUUGCAGAUUCUGGGCUGCUCCAGAAUGAAGACCUUUCUUAGGGUACUUGACUUGUAAAUAGACCUUCUCCCCCUCUGCCUUUGUAUUUUAUAUAAAGGUGGUAAACGAAGCUCGUAAGCAGCCACAUGGGCAGAGAACACAGCAUAAAGGCCACCUCCAUCACGCCUGACCCCACGACAGGCACUGUGAACGGUGAACAUUUUGUGAACAUCUUCUGGACUGUGAACAUUUUGAGGCUGGGAAGCCGAGAUGAAGGUGCUGACAGAUUUGAUGUCUGGAGGGAGCAUGUUUCCAGAGGUGUAGACAGCCGCCUUCUCGCUGUUUCCUUGCAUGGUGGAGAAAGAAAGCUGUGGUGUCUCUUCCCCUUCUUAUAUGGGCACUGGUCCCAUGACGGAUGUUCCUCUCUCAUCACCUCAUCUAAACCCAGUUUACCACCCUCUCCCCCAUCACACACUUCCUAGUAUCACUUCGGGGAGUGUUAGACCUUCAACAUACGAAUUUUGAGGGGGAACACAAUCUAGUCCAUAACAAUGGGAUCCCCAGUGUUGCUUGACUAUAACAAGGCCCUCACAAAGUUCCCUAAUUCCCUAUAGAAACAUGAAGGCUUAGGGGAUCCAUAUAGGGGACAGCAGGUCAAAUUAUUCCCAUUUACCUAGUGAAGGAAUCAAUAUUCAGAAAACUGAGAGUGCUUUUACCCCUAAGGCAUGAGUGACUUAAGGGCAUCCUUGGAAAUCAAGCUUUUUAUCCAGUGCUCUUGUCGCUAGAGUGGAGGGAAGAAUACUGGUUUUGUGCCCAGAUUGUUGAUUUCCCAAAAGCAAAAUGUGUCACAUGGAAACGAUUCCCAACAAAAACCUUUGCACUUCCAUGAAAGAGUGGAGCUUCAGGACUUUACUGAGCAGUGUCCUGUAGGAUCCCUGCAUUGACAGCUCUUGAAUGUUCGAGAUAGCAUGAACUGCUCAGCAUUCCUUUCCCUUGGAGGUUUCAUAUGGUAGGAGAGUAAGUCUAAACUCAUUCCAGGUUGAAAUAUUUAAGGGAAGGAUAAUAUUUGAAUGGCUAUAUCCAAUAAAGCUAUAUUUUACUGUG
Neofelis nebulosa (Clouded leopard) is the source of this 2687-nucleotide long non-coding RNA. RefSeq lists it as uncharacterized. NCBI's taxonomy places the organism in Eukaryota, Metazoa, Chordata, Mammalia, Carnivora, Felidae. The transcript has 2 exons. The record is from RefSeq and is a predicted model, not a curated record.